ACCCUUUCUGAUCACUGCAGAACAGCCUUUGGAUAUACUCUGUAGAAUGGUUUUUCUCUCUUGAUAUGAAAUGAUUUUAAGAGAAGCUAAUGGAAGAGGAGAGUCAAACUUCUUUCCCCAGUGUACCAGCUGCAAGAGAAGAGGUUGGAGUUUGUUUUUCAUAGAAUCUCAGGUAGUCUCUUUAUUUUGCUACGAGAUGCAGACAGAUCACUUUGCCAGCUGUCAAGGCAAAUAUUGCUGUAUAGUCCUUGGUCUCAACAACAUAUUUAGUAUCCUGGUGAUGGGUGCCUUCAAAGGACUGGACAGAACAAACUUCAUACUGCACCUGUGUUUUAGGUUCUCUGCUCUGAGGUGACCCAGUCUGCUGUUGCCCUCUGUUUGCCCACCACCCUGCUGAAGUCCAUCCUUCUUGGUACCCCUCACACUGGUCCUCUUCAGCUACUCCAGACAAAGGGCAAACUGUCAGCUUUGUGAUCUCACCAUCUACCUCCUUGAAUCCUGAAGAUUUGUCGUCUUUUGUACUACCUCUCUGUGGAUGAAUCAUAACCUUUUCCAAAUGAAUAUAUUAUAGAUGAGGCCAGCCCUAAUAUCUGGGAGUAGUAUUUUCUAGAAUCAUGUAAGGCAUACAAAUACAUAGACAGAUUUUCUCUCCAGCGGAUAUCUUGUUCUUAGAGCUAUUGCCUUUGAAACUCUCCUUGAUCUUUCAAAUAAUAUUUCCCCAUUUCCUAGAUGCAUUCUAUUUGUCAGAUGUAACCCAGCUAUGGAAUAGCUAGUUUUCAAGCAGUCAGCUAUCCUGUAGCCUACUCAAGCUGUAUGUAAAUGUUUUUUCAUGAUUUGCGAAAAUUUGUAUUUUGUUUAAAUGAUUAAAAAAAAAAAAAAGCACUCCCAGCUCCUACUACACUACCUUCCAAUAUUAGAAACAAAGCAAAGCUCUUCUCUUACAUCAUGGGAGAUUUUAUUUUCCUUUCUAGAGGGUUGCAUUUUUGGAGGGAGAGGGAAAGAAAUGGAAAAGAGGUAUCAGUCUCUGAAUAAGAAGUCCUGUUUUUUCUUAUGUAAAAGUUCUUCAGGAACAAAACUGGUUAAUUUUAUGAUGUGACUACUAAAAACUUUUAAAAAUCAUACAAUGGGAUAUCAAAACUGAUU
This 1143-nucleotide long non-coding RNA is filed under the name Apteryx rowi (Okarito brown kiwi). RNAcentral's name for it is "lncRNA (ENSARWG00000011289.1)". Lineage: Eukaryota; Metazoa; Chordata; Aves; Apterygiformes; Apterygidae. The record is from RNAcentral.